This 71-nucleotide transfer RNA is filed under the name Ovis aries (sheep). It matches the Rfam family "tRNA". Rfam says of the family: Transfer RNA (tRNA) molecules are approximately 80 nucleotides in length. Their secondary structure includes four short double-helical elements and three loops (D, anti-codon, and T loops). Lineage: Eukaryota; Metazoa; Chordata; Mammalia; Artiodactyla; Bovidae. The record is from Rfam by way of RNAcentral.
UCCCUGUAGCUCAAAUGAUAGAGAAUCUGCCUGCAAUGCAGGAGACCCAGGUUCAAUCCCUGGGUUGGGAA